This 4763-nucleotide long non-coding RNA is filed under the name Homo sapiens (human). Its description in RNAcentral is "HSALNT0353729". The record is from RNAcentral. Lineage: Eukaryota; Metazoa; Chordata; Mammalia; Primates; Hominidae.
CCCCGCGCCGCCGCCCCCAACCCCUAGGCUGAGCCGGAGGGAGGGACCCAGAAGGGAGGGAGGCGGAAGGGAGGCCAAAAAGGAGGGGGCCACGUGAAAGAGGCCGGCCGACCGAGACCGAGGGAGACUGAGCGGAGCGCACGCCCUGGAAGGAGAGAGCCGGAGAGUUCGGGAGGCAAGACCCCCAGAGACGAGAGUCGGAGGGAUCAAACGACACAGCGCCUCCCAGACGGGAUUGUGAAAUGGCUCCGCGUGCGAACGGGUCCAGGAGCCGUUCGUUGUACAGAGGAGGAAGCUAAGUCUGGAAGGAGCACUCGAGCAGGCUCAGCGGCCAGCAGCCAGCGGCAGGGGGAUCGUGCAUCGCUUGGAGGGCGCUGGGCUCUCCUCCAUCCGCCUCAGCCGUGGGCAGUUUGUUUCCGCUCCCACUUGCAGCGGGUCUGCAUCUUAAUUGGCAAAACGAAGUUGGGGCCGCGGUGGAGCGGAGGCUUCUUCCAGAACGGUCAGCUCACCUCCGGAUGCGGUCGUCCGAGCAGCCGCCUGCGGGGGGUCCCACGCCCUCUAUCUAACAGGUUGACGUCCAGCCCCUAGGGGCCCAGGCGGCCCCGGGCCGCCCCACCUCGCGGCCUUCUGCUCCCCGCGCAGCCUUGCGCGCCCAGCCACCCAGCACACGGUCCGUCCCUGGGGACGCGUCGCGAGCGCCGGGAAUGGAGCUCGUUUCCUCUUUUCUUUUUUCUUCUUCUUCUUUUUUUUUUUUAAACCUUUGGUUCUGAUUGUCCUUGGCCCAGCAGGCUGUUGGUGGCGUUGGUGGUGCUGCUGGGACUGGGGCACCGGCCUUGGCCGCAGGUGUGCUGUGCCCGACAGAGGCCGCCUGGACCGCGCCCGGAACGCCCUGUCCGGGUGGGCUGCGGCGUUCGCCCUGCUUUUGCCCCGAGCCGAGACUGGCAACAUCUUUUCUAGCUUCAAAACAGAAAAUUUUGGAAUUAUAAAAUUACCCCCUCCCCACGCUUACAGGUCAUUAUCUCCUGGAGACCACCAACUCGCUUUCUCUUUGGAGAAGCCAGUCUCUGUGACCCUUUCUUUCAUGAAAAUUUCGAACUCAAAUGUGGGCAUUCGUUUUGAGUCAUUUCAAAGCCCUAGAAGCUCGGGGUCAAAUUGUGUUUCGGGUGACAGCGCCUUUAGACACAUCCCCCUCUCUUUCCAAGCUCCCCCUCUUGGAGCAAUUUACAAAUUUGUUCCUUUGGAAUUCGCUACUUUAUUUUUGUUUUGUAAGUUUUGUUGUUGAUUUUUUUAAUGUUUAAUUUUCUAUGGAAGUGUUAGUUUAAAUACAUCCAACAGCCCAGCGUGGUGGCAAGCGCCUGUAGUCCCAGCUUCUAGGCAGGUUGAGGUAGGGGGAUUCCUUGAGCCCAACAGUUCGAGGCUGCAGUGAACAAUGAUUGCCCCACUGCACAAGCCUGGGCAACAGAUCCAGACCCCGUCUCUUAACCAAAAUAAUAAAUAAAAAUAAAAGACAGAUCCUUAGAUAGGAAAUAAAUAACUCGCUCCUGUGACCCGGAGAUGACCCGGUUCUUAGUGGUCCAGGAACCUGAGGCGAUGCUCCUGGACUCGCGGAGCCGCCAGCCCGCCGCUCCCAGCCCUCCAGGCCCUGGACGGGUCCCGCCUCCAUUUCACACCCACCGCUCGCCAGCCCCGGCGGCUCCCGCAGAGACCUUGCAUCCGAGUCCAGUUACGCGAACCAGCGGCGCCUGAGGCCACACCCAGAGCCAGGAAGUAGCCGUCUGGGUGCCGGGGCUCUGUGGGCACGGCCGCGCUGCUGGGCGCGGACUGCAAGGCCGGGCGGGGAUGGUGUUUGCGACCCGCACAGGCGCUCUCCCCCCGGCGAGUGUGGACCCUUCGAGAAUGCUCCCUUGGCCCAGGACUGAUCCCCACGAGCAUACAGCUUCGGCCUUCCGAGGAGAGUCAGGGUCGGUGCGGACCGACUCCGCAGGCCCUCCCUUGCCCCAUCUGGGCUGGUGCCAGGCCGCAGCUCGAGACCUGGUUUCCACCCCGGGCUCCCACAGAGCCCAUGAAGCGCUGGUCACAGCCCCUGGAAGCUGCAGACCCGGCUUUUCGAGGAGCCUCCCCGACGUGCAGAGCCUGAGACCCCAGAGAGCGGCCGGCUCGUGCGGGCCAGAACGCGGCGAGGCGCCCGCGGAAACGACUCGGCUUUUCUUUCUUUUCCCCUUUUCUUUCUUUAUUUGCUUUUUUUUUUCCUCUCUUCCCUUCUUCCACCCAUUUCCCCCUCCUCUUUCUUUUGUUUUUUUUUAGUCCUCCCCCCACCCCUCUUCUUUCUUUUGUUGCUCGUUCACUCUCGCUCUUGUCUCCUCUUCUGCUCCCGCUCCCCCCACUUUCUGUUCCUUUUCAUCAGAAGGACGGCCAAGCCACAGUCCCGUCCUCCUAAUAAGAGAAGAGGCCUUCAUGCUCGCGGUGUGCCCACCAGGUGCCAGACGCUCUGCAGAUUUAAUACGUUUAAUAGGCACAGAGCUCUUGGAGGGUUCUAUAGCCUGUGUAGGGGGUGGGGAAUUCUUUCCAGCUUGGGCAGCCUGGGGAGCUAGGCCUGGGAUUGGGGAAGGGGUCUGGGCCCUGGCCCCUUAGCCAGGUGAGGUGGACCACAGCAUCUCCUCCAGAAUGUCUCCUGGUGGCAGGGAGGCCAGGCCAGAUCACAUUGGCCUGCCCACAUUCCAGCAGGGACUCACACUUGCAUCUGUCCUUCCUGACACAGGACUCUACUGUGGCUACCAGUCCUGUCUUCACCUGCCACCUCCCCCCUCCACCACCUUGCCAGGACUGGAAGGGAGAGGGGGCUGGGUACUGCCUCCUCCAGCUGCACCUCCCACUGGGUGCUGCUCGGGAGGGGAUGGAACAGGGGGCAUGGUGCUUCUUUUACAGGCAAGAGUUCUGGGGUCUAGGUGGGGAAAAGGAGGCUACAGCCACACCACCCCUCAGAUGCCAGGCAGGAUCAGCCUCUGGUACCCUGGCUCCAGGCCAGCCCUCCUGCCUCCUGCUGGUUUGAACUGACUGAAGAUGACACACGAAGAGGAUGGGACAGGAGCUGGUGCCACCUCCACAGGCACUGGGCUUCCCUGGGCCCCCUCUCCCAUGUCACAUCUGUACUUUCUGCCUUGUUCCUGCCUCUUGGUGCCAGGAAUGGGCUUACAAGCCCAGUUCCCAAAUGGCCAAAUUCCACAUAUUUGCAGAUUGGCAAAGCACACAGGGGACCUCGAGAUGAGCUGGACCCCUGGUUUGCAGACCUCUUCCUGCUACUGCCCUUGAGCAAGCCCAUUUCCUGUCCAAGCCUCAGUUUUCCCAAAUGAGAAAACAAGAGGGGGUUUUUAGGUGAAUCUUUCUCCUUGCUAGUGUUAACAGCUUAGGUCAUGGAUUGAAAAACUUGUUCUGUAAAGGGCCAUAUAAGCAAAUGUUUUAGACUUUGCAGGCCACAUGGCCCUAUUGUGGUGACUCAGCCCUGUCUUUGUAGUGUGAAAGUAGCCCUAGAUAAUGCAUAAAUGAGUGGGUAUGGCUGUGUUCCAACCAACUUUAUUUAUAGAUAUGAAAACCUGAAUUAUAUCUAAUUUUCACAUCGCAAAAUAUGAUUCUUAUUUUUUUUUCAACCACUUAAAUAUGUAAAAACCAUUCUCAGUUUGCUGGCCAAACAAAAACAGGCAAUGGGCCACAGUUUGCCAAUUCUUGUGCAGUUUCAAUUAUUCUGAUAGCACAAAUAUUGCACUUCCAUAUCAGACAUGUUGCCUUAUGUUAACAUUUUUUUCUUUUAAAUUCUUUUCUCCAGGAAAGCAUCUAUUAAUUUAACAGUAUUUGGGACUUAGGAACACAGAAUCACCUGACUCAUUUCCUACACCCAUUUCUGAGUUCUCAACAAUUUAAAUGUUUCCCUUAUUAAUACUAUACCCAGACACCGGAUUGCACAACGUACAAUCACCCUCUCAAUCCUUGCAACAGCCUUUGGAGUAGAAAUAGUUUACCCUGCCUUCCAGCUCCUUGCACACCCCUGGAGACAGGGCGCUCACUCCCUUCAGUGGCUGCCUAACGAACUGCUGAGAGCCCAGUGACGUAGGCUUGACGCCCCUUAAGGGCGAAGGCCACCCCCGGCGACAGUGCUUCUUCCCAACCAGCCAUUCCCAACCCCUGGCAAUUCCAUCUAAAUCCUCUCCAGCUGUUGAAAUGUGGAUGGACAGGGGGCGGUGGCUCUGAUUUUCUGGGAGUUUCCCAAGCCUUGAGCCUUUGCAGCUGCCAAGUGACAAAUCUUGCAGGGACUAGGCAAAGGGAAAGAAUAUGACAGAAAAAAUAGAGAUUAUAAAUGUGUUGCUUGCUAGAAGUGUUUCCAGGAAAUCUUGCUCACAGGGAGGCCUUAUCGCCCCGCCCCCGCAUCUUCCUUGGUUCUUGCGCCCUCUGCUGGUCAUAUUGAGUCUUAACCAUGCUCACUCGGAACCGUUCCACUUAUAAAGGAAAACAAGACUGCAUGAUCUCACUUGUAUGUGGAAUCUAAAAAAGUUGACAUCAUAGAAAUAGAGUGAAAUGGUGGUUAUUAGGGCCGGGAUGUGAGGGAGAAAUGAGAAGAUGUCGGUCAAAGGGUACAAACUUUGAGUUAUAAGAUAAAUUCUGGGGAUCUACGUACAGCAUGGUGACUAUAGUUAACAAUCACGUAUUGUGUGCUUGAAGUGUGCCGAAAGGGUCGGUUUUCAGUGUUCUCACCAAAAUGGUAACUAUGUAAG